UAGUUCAUAUAACCAAGGACAUACCGUCCAUAGGCAAAGCGACGAUCCUUGUCAUGAUCCCCGAAAGUGUCCCAAAGACGCAAGGAAACAUUGACUCCAUCAACCACCUCCCAAGAUCGUUCGAGAACCUGAAAAAGGAAUGCGAUACUGGUCGAUGGCCCAGACAGUUGGAACAUGGGUGGAAAGUAGCUGGGAUAGCGAGACGUGCUUGUUGCAGGCUCUAGCGCAGAUCAGGCGCGUCUUGCCCACUGCAGUAUCCCCCACCAGGACGCACUUGACCAACUCUUGAUGUGGCUGCUCGUUGUCCAUUGUUGGCUGGCACUUCGUGGCACUGGUGUCGAAAAUCUGAAAAAAUAAGCAAUUAUUUAUUUAAAUAAAAUGGAUAACUUUCCAUAAAAAAUAGAUCUUAACUUAGUGUUAAUUAUUGCAUAAACUUCUUAAAUUUAUUGCCUAUUCCUUAGUAUCUAUCAUCUAUGCGAAAUAAACAUCGUACUUCCGAAGUGAUAAUUAAUUUAUUAAACACAAAGGCGCUUAAAUUAUAACAUAGACUUUACUUAAACUCUUGAAGAAUAAAUUUUAUUAUUUGUAUGUUAGCAAAGUGCGUUUUAAAAGAAUAACAUUUCGGCAAGUCGUCAUACGAUGACCCUGUUUCUGGAGGAUCGGGAGGGAAGUUGAAGCAAAUCUGGACUGUAAAUCAGAUGCGAAGCGAUAAGCUCUUUUGGUCUCUAAUUGAACUUAAUUGGACCUGCACUAAAAAUAUCCACCAUCAAUCCUCCAGCCCACAACAUCGAGCCGAGGAGCACUCUUCUUUCUGCGUGGGGCCCAUGCUGCAUGAGAUAUUGCCAUUGUUGUCCGUCCGUCCGGCCGUAUUGUCGAGUUGCAGUCUAUUUUUGGAAGUGCUUCGAAACCAAAACAAUAACAAUUCAAUUGAGAGGAUCUUAAGCGGUCAGCCAAUGCGAUCGCCAUGUCCGCAGGAGGACCAACUCGAAAGCUUAUUGAUUUUCUCUUGCCAUUUGCAAAACGGCGACACGGGCGGAAGGCAGAAACCCACACAACAAACACACUGGCACGAACACGAACACAGCACCAAACAGUGGGGAUCUUGGAGCCCCACUCUUGGCUCCGGCAAACUUGGCCUACAAUUAACCCAGCGAGUGAAAUAGGGCGAAAAAGUCAAGAAAAAUAAAGAAAAUCGGAAACUGUAA
Drosophila ananassae is the source of this 1205-nucleotide long non-coding RNA. RefSeq lists it as uncharacterized. The transcript is spliced from 3 exons. NCBI's taxonomy places the organism in Eukaryota, Metazoa, Arthropoda, Insecta, Diptera, Drosophilidae. The record is from RefSeq and is a predicted model, not a curated record.